UACGUAGGGUGCAAGCGUUGUCCGGAAUUAUUGGGCGUAAAGAGCUCGUAGGCGGUUUGUCGCGUCUGCUGUGAAAACUCGGGGCUUAACUCCGGGCCUGCAGUGGGUACGGGCAGACUAGAGUGCGGUAGGGGAGACUGGAAUUCCUGGUGUAGCGGUGAAAUGCGCAGAUAUCAGGAGGAACACCGGUGGCGAAGGCGGGUCUCUGGGACGGAACUGACGCUGAGGAGCGAAAGCGUGGGGAGCGAACAGG
Molecule: ribosomal RNA, 253 nt
Filed under: uncultured bacterium
Lineage: Bacteria
Description: partial 16S ribosomal RNA
Rfam family: Bacterial small subunit ribosomal RNA
Source: RNAcentral